This 506-nucleotide ribosomal RNA is filed under the name uncultured bacterium. RNAcentral's name for it is "partial 16S ribosomal RNA". It matches the Rfam family "Bacterial small subunit ribosomal RNA", at positions 30 to 523 of the family's 1533-position model. The record is from RNAcentral.
AUUGAACGCUGGCGGCAGGCCUAACACAUGCAAGUCGAACGGUAACAGGAAACAGCUUGCUGUUUCGCUGACGAGUGGCGGACGGGUGAGUAAUGUCUGGGAAACUGCCUGAUGGAGGGGGAUAACUACUGGAAACGGUAGCUAAUACCGCAUAACGUCGCAAGACCAAAGAGGGGGACCUUCGGGCCUCUUGCCAUCGGAUGUGCCCAGAUGGGAUUAGCUUGUUGGUGGGGUAACGGCUCACCAAGGCGACGAUCCCUAGCUGAGCUGAGAGGAAGACCAGCCACACUGGAACUGAGACACGGGCCAGACUCCUACGGGAGGCAGCAGUGGGGAAUAUUGCACAAUGGGCGCAAGCCUGAUGCAGCCAUGCCGCGUGUAUGAAGAAGGCCUUCGGGUUGUAAAGUACUUUCAGCGGGGAGGAAGGGAGUAAAGUUAAUACCUUUAGUGAUUGACGUUACCCGCAGAAGAAGCACCGGCUAACUCCGUGCCAGCCGCCGCGGUAA